UACGAAGGGUCCAAGCGUUAUCCGGAUUUAUUGGGUUUAAAGGGUGCGUAGGCGGCUUUUUAAGUCAGUGGUGAAAGCUCCAUGCUUAACAUGGAAAUUGCCAUUGAUACUGAAGAGCUUGAGUACACUUGAAGUGGGCGGAAUAUGUCAUGUAGAGGUGAAAUUCUUAGAGAUGACAUAGAACACCGAUUGCGAAGGCAGCUCACUAAAUUGUAACUGACGCUGAGGCACGAAAGCGUGGGGAUCAAACAGG
RNAcentral lists this ribosomal RNA (253 nucleotides) under uncultured bacterium. RNAcentral describes it as "partial 16S ribosomal RNA". It matches the Rfam family "Bacterial small subunit ribosomal RNA", at positions 524 to 776 of the family's 1533-position model. The record is from RNAcentral.